This 179-nucleotide ribosomal RNA is filed under the name uncultured bacterium. RNAcentral's name for it is "partial 16S ribosomal RNA". It matches the Rfam family "Bacterial small subunit ribosomal RNA", at positions 158 to 334 of the family's 1533-position model. The record is from RNAcentral.
CCGAGCUAAUACCGUAUACGAUCCGCAAGGAUGGAAAGCGGGGGAUCGCAAGACCUCGUGCUAUUAGAUGAGCUUAUGUUAGAUUAGCUUGUUGGUGGGGUAAAAGGGCCUACCAAGGUGACGAUCUAUAGCUGGUCUGAGAGGAUGAUCAGCCACACUGGGACUGAGACACGGCCCAG